GGCAGGAGGGGGACACUGAGGGUGGGGACACCCUCAGGGCAAUAUAGUGCCAGGAAAACGAGUAUGUGGUCCUAAUGAGAUCCUUGAGGUUGAUACUGCGAGACUAAAUAUUUGAUAUCUGGUUCGAUUUUCGUAAGGAACAAACGAAGGUCUCCUCUUUCGGUGAUAUGCAGACGACUUCUCUGUUUGAACAUAUGAUUUCUCAUCUGUGCGUCAGCUCCCC
Non-coding RNA from Pelobates cultripes (western spadefoot toad), 223 nucleotides. Lineage: Eukaryota; Metazoa; Chordata; Amphibia; Anura; Pelobatidae. The record is from the annotation of a GenBank genome assembly.